Non-coding RNA from Lolium perenne, 4223 nucleotides. The record is from RefSeq and is a predicted model, not a curated record. Lineage: Eukaryota; Viridiplantae; Streptophyta; Magnoliopsida; Poales; Poaceae.
UUGCCAUAAUCAUUGCUAUGACCAACGAAACAAGAAAACGAAAUUGACGCCGUCGCUCUCGGCAACGCUGCCUCCUCAAUUCUAUUCUGGAGUAUAUCUCGCCAACCACCACCCCUCUGCUCCCCAACCACCGCCCCGCACUCGCCCUCCGGCGCCGCCGCCUCAUCUCCCCCAUCACCGGCACCUCCUCCUCUCUGCCAGCCCCUUCUCCACACCUCGCCUAGAGCUCGCCCGGAUCAGAUCGACAGUGGUCAAUGGGUCACCGGCGGUUUCCCCCGCUGCCCCUCCUCCCUAGCGCCGCCCCAUCUACGCAGACGAAAGACGAGGCGCCGCGCAGCAGCCACUAUGGCGGUGCGACUGGCCUGCUCGUCGACGCCGCGUGCAUCGAUUCGGCGACGCGCGCGGCUCCGUCGAUCACGCCGGUCUGCGUCGUGCGCGCGAACGAGGGACAGCGGCGCGGUGCUGCACGCAGCCGCGGGGCCGCCGACGACCGGGAGGUCGAGCUGCUCGUCAUCGACGCCGCGUGCAUCGAUUCGGCGACGCGCGCGGCUCCGUCGAUCACGCCGGUCUGCGUCGUGCGCGCGAACGAGGGACAGCGGCGCGGUGCUGCACGCAGCCGCGGGGCCGCCGACGACCGGGAGGUCGAGCUGCUCGUCAGGGAGACGACGCCGUCCAGGGGAUUGUCGGCAUCGGCCUCAAAGCGUGGAGCUCUCUCAAAAAAAAAAAAAAAAAAAGGGCAGCGUGGAGCGCCUCCAGAACAAUUAGUGGCUCGUGACCCGCAUGGAGCUUACGGUGCUGGUUGUGGCUUACGCCUGCAAGUGGCACAGGCUGCCCACGGCGCUUCCGCCGCCACGCCACCACCGAAUUUUUCUCAAUGAACUGGACUAGUUUGCAUUACUGGAACUGAACUGGCUAUAUCAAUUAGUUAAUUGCCGAAAUAUAGAGUGCAUCUACACAAAGAUAAAUUUUUGCUGCAUGUCUGUUGUAAUUCUCAGUUAUUGUGCUUUAUCAAUAUUGUCAAUGUUGUAAAUUAUUUCUUCAAAGUACCAGAAGUGUGUUGACUACACUGGUUAGUUUCUCCUUUAAAUGCUCACAUUACAUGUUGCUGUAGUUUCUUCACCAUUUCACUGCUAAUGAAAAGCUCAGUUUCUAUGAUGCAACAAUGUUGUAAUUAAAUCAAUCCUGCAACCCCCAGUUGAAAAUUAAUGCAGCAAGGAAUUUCAGUUGUAUCACUAAACUUGGUUAAUAGAGAUUCUUGAUAAAUGUUACACUUCCUCAAUGACGCCUUACUCUGAGCACAAUAUUGAGUUCAUUACCCUUCACUAUUAUCAGGAACUUUAGCAUACGACGGUCCCAGGUUCAGAGUUGCAGUGUGACAAUUUUGUUUUCUUUGCAGAGGAGAAGAACUGAUGCCGCUGAAGGGCAAAGGAGAUGUGCUGCUGAUGGCAGGUUAGGUGCUGCUGCAAAUCUCGAGGGAGAUUUCCUCUCCGUCCUUGCUUCGGUAGAACAACUGAUUCGAUAUUAGGAGAAAUUUUUAUCUAGUAAAUGAUCUUAUUCGAGUUUAUUGUGCACCAAGGGUUUCGCCAUGGCCCACAACGGCAGCCUGGAGCGCCUCCAGAAUGAGUAGUACUACGUGAUCUGCAAGGCUAGCUUGCCAUCUUGAUUUGAUUCGGUGUGGUUCGAUUCGUUGAUUUGGGGGUAACGUCCUGAUGCGCUUCUGUUUGGGUUGAUUGUUUGAUCGCCCGCAUGCCCAGCAACAUGUUGGAGUGGUGUAGUAGGUUGGUUCCAGUAAUUCCAUCUGCGUAUUUUGUAUUUACCGUCGUUCUCUUUAAUGGAAACUACAUUGUGUUGCGGGAGUGGUACUUGUGAUUGGUGGGCUGGUAUUGUGCUAAUCGUUGAUUGAUAUGGUAUGCAUAUGGAUAUGGAGUUUUACCAUACGGUUGUUCUUUGGUUUAGUCAUCGCAUGGCUACUUUUGCCCAUUUUUAGCAUAGGAAUUUAAUAUUUGAACUGCUUAUCUAACCUGCUUAAUGCAUUUGUAUGGCUACUUAUUGCUAAUAAUUCGUUCCGUUGGCUAAGGAAUUAGAUUAAAGCAUUUUAUAUAUAUCAUCACUUAUUUAUGGUGGAAGGACUGAUAAUGCAUCUGUAUGGCUACUUAUUGCUAAUAAUUCGUUCCGUUGGCUAAGGAAUUAGAUUAAAGCAUUUUAUAUAUAUCAUCACUUAUUUAUGGUGGAAGGACUGAUAAGUAUACAGAACAAGUGCUACACCUGUCUCUGGUAGAAGCAUUGUAGAACAUAAGAUCCCCGAUAGCGCAUAUUUAGUUGAUGCACAUGUAUGUGUUCUGAGAUGGCAUCACUUAUGUUUUGGUUAUCUUUGAUUUAUUCUUGGAAAUUCUAUGGACUUGUGUGCGAAGAGAUGUGAUUUCUCAUAGCUCUGUUGGUGACAUAAGCGAUUGAUUUUGAUCUGUAUGUUCUGAUUCUGAUGAUAGCCUUUUUAUUUAGGGAGAAAUAGCCCUUAUUUGUUGUGGUUCUAGUUUUGGUUGGGGAGAAUCACUUUGUUCUGGUUCUGAUGAUGGCAUGAAUAAUAAGAAGAGAAUACUACUAUGUAUGAUCUGUUUUUCACUUUAGUUGUUGAGUUGUCAAGAAGAUAGGCUACAGUAUCGAUGGUCAUUUUUUUUCCACUUUAGAGCUCUUUCUAGUCACUCUCGAAUAUUGCCAAUUAUCCUUAUGGAUCAUGCUUAUUUCUGAAGAAUGUCGUGCUUUAUUAGUUUCCUCAGUAGGUUGUCCUUGUGUUAUAUACAAAUAACAGGACUGCACUUUUGUCUCUUGGCUGCAACGGUGUGGAAAAUGACAGUGCAGUGACCAGAAUCCCACUGGCAAGUUUCGCCUCAAGGAUAGCCUGUUGUGCCUCCAGAAGAAGUAGCACGUUAUCUGCAAGUUGUGCUAUUCAUGGGAGCUGUCGCGGGCUUCUGCCUGAUCAUCCGAGCCAUGGAUAGCGGUGUCGACUCCAUGUGUUUGGAUGAUUCUUGGUAACUAUUUGGCUUCAAGAAUUCCAAGCAAGCGGAACUAUUCAAAUACCAAGCAAGCGGAAUGGUUCUUUUUUGUCGCCGAGGUUUAGGACUCUUUGCAUUUCAUUUCAUUGGAAAGAUAGAAGUUUUACAACCCUCCUAAGAGGCAGAAUACAUGAUCAGGGACUUAAUGUACAUCCCAGGUCGUCGGUAGCAAGAUGCGCAGACCUAGGGCGCCAGCUCUUGCCCACAGCCUAGCCUCGUCCUUGAUCAGGCCGACUCUAGCGAUGACGGAAGGUUGUGCACCCUCGAAAACGCAGUCAUUCCGAGUGACUGUAGUUGGUGAUACCUGCUGGGAAUGUUUUGGUCGAAGGCUCCGAGUAGAAACGGGCUCUAAUCUUUUGAUCACAGGUAAUCCUCUCUUACCAAAUGAUUGCCACUUAACUAGUGCAGUGCUUACUGUAAUAAUUAGAACAGCAGCAAGGUAGCACUUGAUGAUGAGGCUAUGUAUCUUGAUGUGUUGUUUUCUUUUGCAUCACAGUUUCGUUUGACAUUGCCAUCACUUGUUGUCAAUUUGUUUAUUUUUUUGCAAUCCUAAAAAUUGUAUGUCACUAUGUAUCUUCUUGGUGGUUCCAGUAUAUCUUGGUGUUUAUUUUCCUGAUAACUUGAAAACUAUAGUGCAGUUGUAAUUCCAUAUACAUAGGUGACUGCCAUUUCGAGGAAACAAAGGUGCUACCAUGUUGGUAGAUAGAUGCAUGCCCGUUGUCAUGUGUGUCUAGUUGAAGUCUUCCUCCUAAAUCUAUUUAUUUAUUUGCUAAAUAUGCUUUAUUAAAGCUGAUACUGAUGUUUUGUUCCUGCUGGAGGGUAAAUAACAAGGCAUCAGCUUGUGUGUUGAUGUAUCACUCGACAAGGAAGUAACAGGGGGGCAAGGAGACGUGGCCAUCAGGCAGCACCAUAUUGCAUGAGUUGUGAUGUAUGCGCCUUUAGCCUCCUUGAAUAUUAUAUCCGUGAUGUAUAUAGUUGCAAAGGAUGUGUUCUGCUGUAUUAUUCGCCGUACCAUGUUGCAUGAGUUGUGUUGUAUGCGCCUUUAGCUUUGUUUUAUUUGCUUUUUGUUGUGAAUGUCCCUAAAAGAUGCUGAUAUAUAUUCGCUUUUAUUGCUGAUUGUUUGAUAUGUGACCUGAAUGCUUGAGAAAUCAAAAGGUUUUGGCAAAUUUUAUA